Molecule: ribosomal RNA, 2439 nt
Filed under: Triticum aestivum (bread wheat)
Lineage: Eukaryota; Viridiplantae; Streptophyta; Magnoliopsida; Poales; Poaceae
Description: partial small subunit ribosomal RNA
Source: RNAcentral
ACAACACGAGCUAAUCCAAUCCAAUCCCCAAUUCCUUCCCCUGCUCGUCUCCCAACCAACGGAGCCCAACUCCAGCGCCGAUUUCCUCUGCCCCAGCCACUCGGCCUCGCCGGCGCGGCGGCCUCCUCUCCCCCAUCCAUGCCGCUGACCUCCCUCUCCUUCUCUCCCAUGGCGCCGAAACCCUAGCCACGGCGACCUAGCAGCAGCAGGCAGGACGAGCCCGGCUAUGGCCAUGGCCUCCUCUUCCCCUCUGCCCUGCCACGGCCGCCGCUCCAGCCCCUCCUCUCCUCUCCUCUCCUCUCCUCUCCUCUUCACUUCUCUCCCAAGGGAGGGGAGGGGAGGGGAGGGAAGGGAAGCCAAGGCCCCAGAUCAAGCGGAGCGGCGCCCAAAUCCGCCCACAGCGGCACCGGCGAUCUGAUCCGCGACCCUCCUCGAGGUCGGCCAUGGAGCGCGGCAGCAGCCAUGGACGGUGACGCCCGAAACCCUAGCUAGCCCUCAACCUCCAAGGACGCGCGCCGGCUGCUCUCGGCGGGGAGCACCUCGACGCCGGCCAAAGGCCAUCACCAUCCCCAUCACCAGCAUCCCGCGUGCGUGAGUCAAGGAGGAAAGAGGAGGAGGCCAUCGCCAUGCUCAGAUCCAUAGCUCCUCUUUUCUCUUCAAUUUUUUCAAACUUGAAUGUGAUGAACAGGGUCAUGAUACUAGUGCUUGAGUCAUGAUACGCACACCCCAAACCUCAUCAUCUUCAUGCUUGCAACUUGUAGGUAAAAACACAUUUUAUUCAAACUAAUUCAGAAUGGUCAUCGGGGGAGAUCCACGGUUGAUCAAUCACAUGGAAUGGAACUAGUACACACUGGAGAGAAUAUAUACAUCAUGUCCUUGUACAAAUUACUCGAAUAGUAAAAAUUGAACUACAGAAUAUAUAUGAACUGAAAUCAACACUUGUGGUAGCAGCAGGUCUCAAGGCGCAGCUCAUCUUUUUGCUAGAAAAAGUCAAGCGUGUGAUAUGUUACUACCUCUGUACACUAAUGUAAGAUGUUUUGCAGUUCAAUUUGAACUAUAAAAACGUCUUAUAAUAGUGUACAGAGGGAGUAUAUGUUAUAUUACCAGCAGGGUAAUGUUUUUUUUUGCUUCCCCUGUUUCGUCUUGUUGAGAUAAUUCACAACAAUACAAAUCAAUCCAUAUUAUACCGCUCAUGCUAGCUUAGCUUAGCUUAGCUUAGCUGCUUUCCCAAUAUAUAUUCUGGAUAUGUUAUCUGAUUCGCGCUGUUUUUUUUUGUUUGUGCAGGCCAUGAAAGCUGCUCCUUCCCCGCCAUGACCACCCUCUCCCUCUCAUGGAAGGUUUUUUGAUUUGAUCUCAAAUUGGCCAUUCUUAUGUGUUAGAGCAGCAGCAGUAGCAGCAGGGUUCCUUGGUGGAUACAGCAGCAGCAGCAGAAAGAGGACACCAUGGUGGGUACAGCAGCAGCAGCGGCGGCAGGGUUCCUUGGUGGAUACAGCAGCAGCAGCAGAAAUAGGACACCAUGGUGGGUACAGCAGCAGCAACAGGGCUGCAUCUUCAAGGUCAGCAGCAGCAGCGGCUCGAUGGACGGUGAUCCCUUCUCCACCUCUUGUUUCAUAUGCAAGCAGGCAAGAUUUCAUCCCUACAGCAGAGGACAAGGGCCUUACUUGAUCAUGCCUGCCAGUCAAGGUCGCAACCCACGGAGGGGGGACGCGCUGUUGUUCGGCAUUGGCUGCACAAACCGCCACGCAGGAAGGCACCCUCUAUGGACGGGGAUGACCACGAUGCAGGGGAGGAUGAGGACCGGUACAUUGAGCUCGACCACGACGGGGCACCGCACAAGGGCAUGAUGUAGUGCCCAGGAUGCUCUUCGGAUGGCUCCCAGGAUGGGAUUGAACCUAGUUGAGGUCCUUGGGAAAUCAGGCCCUCCUGUUUCCAAGAUCAUAGGCUUUCACAAAGACAAGUAUACCAAGGAUGCCAUGGAGAAAGGUCGCCUAAAAGAACAAGGUCAUAAUGUUGUACCGAGGGCAUAAAGUUGUAUCCAGGAUGGGCUUGCACCUGGUUGAGGACCAUCGGAAAUAGGACCAUCCUGCUUGCAAGAUCAUGGACUUCCACAAAGACAAGUAUAACAAGGAUGUCAAGGAGAAAGAGCACGUAAAAACCAAGAUUUGCUUAAGAUCACGGAAGCUUGGGUUGAUGGAGUGCUUGUAUUUAGUUUUUGUUUUCGACCUUGUGAAACUUGCUAUCUAUAGAUGAAACUGUGUAAUAUUGAUGAAACUAUGUAUAUGUACGGAUGAAACUUGCUACUAUUGGUAACAUGUGUUGGAUACAUAUGUGUUCAUGACUAUUGGUAAUAUGUGUUGAAUAUGCUAUAUUGGUCAUAUAAAUAUAUUUGUGUUUGAUUUCUGUGAAAAUGAAUUGAUAUAAGAAAAAACAAAAUUAAAU